AACGAACGCUGGCGGCAGGCUUAACACAUGCAAGUCGAGCGCCCCGCAAGGGGAGCGGCAGACGGGUGAGUAACACGUGGGAAUCUACCCAUCCCUACGGAACAACUCCGGGAAACUGGAGCUAAUACCGUAUACGCCCUUUGGGGGAAAGAUUUAUCGGGGAUGGAUGAGCCCGCGUUGGAUUAGCUAGUUGGUGGGGUAAAGGCCUACCAAGGCGACGAUCCAUAGCUGGUCUGAGAGGAUGAUCAGCCACAUUGGGACUGAGACACGGCCCAAACUCCUACGGGAGGCAGCAGUGGGGAAUAUUGGACACUGGGCGCAAGCCUGAUCCAGCCAUGCCGAGUGAGUGAUGAAGGUCUUAGGAUUGUAAAGCUCUUUCACCGAUGAAGAUAAUGACGGUAGUCGGAGAAGAAGCCCCGGCUAACUUCGUGCCAGCCGCCGCGGUAA
Molecule: ribosomal RNA, 447 nt
Filed under: uncultured bacterium
Lineage: Bacteria
Description: partial 16S ribosomal RNA
Rfam family: Bacterial small subunit ribosomal RNA
Source: RNAcentral